AUUUGUCAUUACAAACAACAGACUUAACUCGAACUUGAUGAACUUGUAUAAUCUAUUUUAGUAAGAGACUUAGAAUAAUACCAACAUAAGAUGCCCAAAAAAAAAGAAUAAUACCAACAAAUACAUCAAUAUGUUUUAUGUUUUCCUGUUGAAACUUACAAGAUUAAAAAGACUACAAGUAAUUGCAAAGGCUGUUUCACCAUCUAUUUUUUCAAAACGAUUUAUUUCAUGUUGAAAACCAUAUAUACCUCAUAAAAUUAUUUUUAAUAUUUUCACUAUAUCCAUCAUUCAUCUUCUUAUGCAACUCCACAAC
This 313-nucleotide long non-coding RNA is filed under the name Brassica napus (rape). RNAcentral describes it as "long non-coding RNA (BNAP_LNC019656)". The record is from RNAcentral. Lineage: Eukaryota; Viridiplantae; Streptophyta; Magnoliopsida; Brassicales; Brassicaceae.